AGUGAACGCUGGCGGCGUGCUUAACACAUGCAAGUCGAACGAGAACGGAAUAUAGCUUGCUAUAUUUGUCAGCUAAGUGGCGCACGGGUGAGUAAUGCAUAGAUAACCUGCCCUUAAGAAAGGAAUAACAGUUGGAAACGACUGCUAAUGCCCUAUAUGCCUUUAAUACAUAAGUAUGCAAGGGAAACGCUUUAGUGCUUAAGGAUGGGUCUGUAUGGUAUCAGCUUGUUGGUGAGGUAAUGGCUCACCAAGGCUAUGACGCCUAACUGGUUUGAGAGGAUGAUCAGUCACAGUGGAACUGAGACACGGUCCAGACUCCGACGGGAGGCAGCAGUGGGGAAUAUUGCACGAUGGACGAAAGUCUGAUGCAGCAACGCCGCGUGGAGGAUGACACAUUUCGGUGCGUAAACUCCUUUUAUAUAGGAAGAUAAUGACGGUACUAUAUGAAUAAGCACCGGCUAACUCCGUGCCAGCCGCCGCCGUAA
This 485-nucleotide ribosomal RNA is filed under the name uncultured bacterium. RNAcentral describes it as "partial 16S ribosomal RNA". It matches the Rfam family "Bacterial small subunit ribosomal RNA", at positions 29 to 523 of the family's 1533-position model. The record is from RNAcentral.